AAACAGUAAAAAACCCGACCGUUAUUUGUCAUUGUGGUUCAAAAGUGGCUAUAUCCUCACGCAGCUUUAAAACAAAUAGCGCCAUAUCCAUUUCGACCAAUCACAACACCGUAUAAUGUGUUGGACGCCAUUUUAAAUUUAUUCAGUUGUUGUUUUGAGACAUUUAUGAGAGGUCGUAAGGAGUGUUUUAAAACGAUUUUAUUGAAAAAAUGGAUACUAAAAUAGAGAAAUUACCACCAGAAAAAACUAGAAAGAAGACAGUAUCGAAAAAACAUAUAAGACGCAAUGAAAAGACAGAAAAAUUGUAUGGUUCUCCUGGUUUACCAAUUGCACCCCACUGUUCUCACAAUAGUAAAGCUUUCCAGUGCAAUUCACUAAAAUCUAAUGAUUUUUUUUAC
This 398-nucleotide unclassified non-coding RNA is filed under the name Melitaea cinxia (Glanville fritillary). RNAcentral's name for it is "misc RNA ENSMCXG00005016960.1". Lineage: Eukaryota; Metazoa; Arthropoda; Insecta; Lepidoptera; Nymphalidae. The record is from RNAcentral.